RNAcentral lists this ribosomal RNA (434 nucleotides) under Salmonella enterica. RNAcentral describes it as "bacterial SSU rRNA". It matches the Rfam family "Bacterial small subunit ribosomal RNA", at positions 1 to 433 of the family's 1533-position model. Lineage: Bacteria; Pseudomonadati; Pseudomonadota; Gammaproteobacteria; Enterobacterales; Enterobacteriaceae. The record is from RNAcentral.
AAAUUGAAGAGUUUGAUCAUGGCUCAGAUUGAACGCUGGCGGCAGGCCUAACACAUGCAAGUCGAACGGUAGCACAGAGAGCUUGCUCUCGGGUGACGAGUGGCGGACGGGUGAGUAAUGUCUGGGAAACUGCCUGAUGGAGGGGGAUAACUACUGGAAACGGUGGCUAAUACCGCAUAACGUCGCAAGACCAAAGAGGGGGACCUUCGGGCCUCUUGCCAUCAGAUGUGCCCAGAUGGGAUUAGCUAGUUGGUGAGGUAACGGCUCACCAAGGCGACGAUCCCUAGCUGGUCUGAGAGGAUGACCAGCCACACUGGAACUGAGACACGGUCCAGACUCCUACGGGAGGCAGCAGUGGGGAAUAUUGCACAAUGGGCGCAAGCCUGAUGCAGCCAUGCCGCGUGUAUGAAGAAGGCCUUCGGGUUGUAAAGUAC